AAACCGUUUAGGGGUAAACCUGAGAAACCCGAAAGGUCGAAGGGAGAAAUUCAUUCGCGUUUCGCCGUUGGCGUGAGACGGUCGUGUGACGGAAAACGUUCGCGUUUUCCGCACCUUUCGUUUUUCGAUCCGAUAGCGAACGCGUGCACUUUUCUCCUGGUAGGACGUCGCGAUCCGUUGGGUGUCGGUCUACGGCUCGCGGUGGAGCCCGGAUGUACGGCUUGCCGUUACGUUCGGACCCGUGUGUCCCGGCUGACUCGCUCGACGGUAUACGAAAGGUUUAAGGCCGCUCUUUGAGCGUUCGGCUCGUCGCAAGCGCGUCAGAUGUGUCGGUAAUCGGACCUAGUGCCGGUUCUGACCUCUGGCGACUGUUGGCGGCGAAGUUCUCGAACAGACCUUCGACCGAUCUGCGACGCUAUAGCUUUGGGUACUUUCAGGACCCGUCUUGAAACACGGACCAAGGAGUCUAGCAUGUGCGCAAGUCAUUGGGAAUCACUAAACCUAAAGGCGCAAUGAAAGUAAAGGUCCGCCUUGCGCGGACUGAGGGAAGACGAGCGGUUUACCCUUAAAAGUGGCCGCUCCGCAUUCCCGGGGCGUCUCAUUCUCAUCGCGAGAAGAGGCGCACCAAGAGCGUACACGCUGGGACCCGAAAGAUGGUGAACUAUGCCUGGUCAGGACGAAGUCAGGGGAAACCCUGAUGGAGGUCCGUAGCGAUUCUGACGUGCAAAUCGAUCGUCGGAACUGG
This 745-nucleotide ribosomal RNA is filed under the name Laparocerus aguiari. RNAcentral describes it as "eukaryotic LSU rRNA". It matches the Rfam family "Eukaryotic large subunit ribosomal RNA", at positions 402 to 914 of the family's 3401-position model. The record is from RNAcentral. Lineage: Eukaryota; Metazoa; Arthropoda; Insecta; Coleoptera; Curculionidae. RNAcentral also lists the same sequence under 1 other name.